UCUCUCUCUCUUUCUCUCUCUCUCUCUCUAUAUAUAUAUAUAUCUUUCUCCCUCUCUCCCUCUCUGUCUCUCUCUCUCUCUCUCUCUCCCUCUCUCUUUCUCCCUCUCUCCCUCUCUGUCUUUCUCCCUCUCUCUCUCUCACUUUCUCUGCCUGUGCAGCCUCUGUCUUCUGUCUGUGUGUCAAGAGUUUGGAUCUUGUUGGUCACAUGUUGUGUUGUUGUGGCUACAGGUGCUGAGUCAUAAAAUGGAGUACAAGAAGAACUGUGACACACUCUCUGAGAAGAACUCAUUUGAUGCAGAGGGAAAUGCCACAAACAACCAGGAGCUGAAGGCUGGUCCAUACGAUGGCCUCCAGAAAGCUGAAAAAGAAGAAAUACAAUAUUCUCUGGACAAACAUGACAAUUCAGACUCAG
Clupea harengus (Atlantic herring) is the source of this 413-nucleotide long non-coding RNA. NCBI's taxonomy places the organism in Eukaryota, Metazoa, Chordata, Actinopteri, Clupeiformes, Clupeidae. The record is from Ensembl.